Molecule: ribosomal RNA, 487 nt
Filed under: uncultured bacterium
Lineage: Bacteria
Description: bacterial SSU rRNA
Rfam family: Bacterial small subunit ribosomal RNA
Source: RNAcentral
CGGAUGAACGCUGGCAGUGUGCCUAAUACAUGCAAGUCGUACGGGAUCCGAGGUAGCAAUACUUUGGUGAGAGUGGCGCACGGGUGCGUAACACGUAUGCAACCUACCUAUAACCGGGACACAACCUCGAGAAAUUGAGGCUAAUAUCCCAUAACACUGCGAGAUGGCAUCAUUUUGCAGUUAAAACUCCGGUGGUUAUAGAUGGGCAUGCGCGACAUUAGCUAGUUGGUGAGGUAACGGCCCACCAAGGCUACGAUGUCUAGGGGUUCUGAGAGGAUUAUCCCCCACACUGGUACUGAGACACGGACCAGACUCCUACGGGAGGCAGCAGUAAGGAAUAUUGGUCAAUGGGCGCAAGCCUGAACCAGCCAUGCCGCGUGAAGGAUGACGGCCCUAUGGGUUGUAAACUUCUUUUGUACGGGAAAAAACCUCUGGUCGAGAAUCAGAGCUGAUGGUACCGUAAGAAUAAGCAUCGGCUAACUCCGUG